GACGAACGCUGGCGGCGUGCUUAACACAUGCAAGUCGAACGGAAAGGCACUGCGUUUGUGGGGUGCUCGAGUGGCGAACGGGUGAGUAACACGUGAGUAACCUGCCCUUGACUUUGGGGUAACUUCAGGAAACUGGGGCUAAUAUCGGAUAGGAGCUCCUGCUGCAUGGUAGGGGUUGGAAAGUCUCGGCGGUUGGGGAUGGACUCGCGGCUGAUCAGCUUGCUGGUGGGGUAGUGGCUUACCAAGGCUUUGACGGGUAGCCGGCCUGAGAGGGUGACCGGCCACAUUGGGACUGAGGGACGGCCCAGACUCCUACGGGAGGCAGCAGUGGGGAAUAUUGCACAAUGGGAGGAAGCCUGAUGCAGCAACGCCGCGUGCGGGAUGACGGCCUUCGGGUUGUAAACCGCUUUCGCCUGUGACGAAGCGUGAGUGACGGUAAUGGGUAAAGAAGCACCGGCUAACUACGUG
This 468-nucleotide ribosomal RNA is filed under the name uncultured bacterium. RNAcentral's name for it is "partial 16S ribosomal RNA". It matches the Rfam family "Bacterial small subunit ribosomal RNA", at positions 28 to 507 of the family's 1533-position model. The record is from RNAcentral.